RNAcentral lists this ribosomal RNA (266 nucleotides) under uncultured bacterium. RNAcentral's name for it is "partial 16S ribosomal RNA". It matches the Rfam family "Bacterial small subunit ribosomal RNA", at positions 57 to 305 of the family's 1533-position model. The record is from RNAcentral.
GCAAGUCGAACGGUAACAGGCUGUAUGGGAUCCCUUCGGAGUGAACUUGGCGCUGACGAGUGGCGGACGGGUGAGUAAUGCAUAGGAAUCUACCCAGUAGUGGGGGAUAACGUGGAGAAAUCCACGCUAAUACCGCAUAUGUUCCACGGAACAAAGCAGGGGACCUUCGGGCCUUGCGCUAUUGGAUGAGCCUAUGUUGGAUUAGCUUGUUGGUGAGGUAAAAGCUCACCAAGGCGACGAUCCAUAGCUGGUCUGAGAGGAUGAUC